RNAcentral lists this ribosomal RNA (254 nucleotides) under uncultured bacterium. Its description in RNAcentral is "partial 16S ribosomal RNA". It matches the Rfam family "Bacterial small subunit ribosomal RNA", at positions 524 to 776 of the family's 1533-position model. The record is from RNAcentral.
GACGAACCGUGCGAACGUUAUUCGGAAUCACUGGGCUUAAAGCGCGUGUAGGCGGGACGGCACGUCCGUCGCUGAAAUCCCCCGGCUCAACCGGGGAACUGGCGGGGAUACGACCGUCCUGGAGGGACGUAGGGGGACCUGGAACUUCCGGUGGAGCGGUGAAAUGCGUUGAGAUCGGAAGGAACGCCCGUGGCGAAAGCGAGGUCCUGGACGUUUUCUGACGCUGAGGCGCGAAAGCGUGGGGAGCAAACAGG